UACAGAGGGUGCUAGCGUUGUUCGGAAUUAUUGGGCGUAAAGCGCGUGUAGGCGGCCAAGCAAGUCGGGUGUGAAAGCCCUCAGCUUAACUGAGGAAGUGCGCCCGAAACUACAUGGCUUGAGUACCGGAGAGGGUGGCGGAAUUCCCGGUGUAGAGGUGAAAUUCGUAGAUAUCGGGAGGAACACCAGUGGCGAAGGCGGCCACCUGGACGGCUACUGACGCUGAGACGCGAAAGCGUGGGGAGCAAACAGG
This 253-nucleotide ribosomal RNA is filed under the name uncultured bacterium. RNAcentral's name for it is "partial 16S ribosomal RNA". It matches the Rfam family "Bacterial small subunit ribosomal RNA", at positions 524 to 776 of the family's 1533-position model. The record is from RNAcentral.